GACGAACGCUGGCGGCGUGCUUAACACGUGCAAGUCGAACGGAAAGGCCCUGCUUUUGUGGGGUGCUCGAGUGGCGAACGGGUGAGUAACACGUGAGUAACCUGCCCUUGACUUUGGGAUAACUUCAGGAAACUGGGGCUAAUACCGGAUAGGAGCUCCUGCUGCAUGGUGGGGGUUGGAAAGUUUCGGCGGUUGGGGAUGGACUCGCGGCUUAUCAGCUUGUUGGUGGGGUAGUGGCUUACCAAGGCUUUGACGGGUAGCCGGCCUGAGAGGGUGACCGGCCACAUUGGGACUGAGAUACGGCCCAGACUCCUACGGGAGGCAGCAGUGGGGAAUAUUGCACAAUGGGCGGAAGCCUGAUGCAGCAACGCCGCGUGCGGGAUGACGGCCUUCGGGUUGUAAACCGCUUUCGCCUGUGACGAAGCGUGAGUGACGGUAACGGGUAAAGAAGCACCGGCUAACUACGUG
Molecule: ribosomal RNA, 468 nt
Filed under: uncultured bacterium
Lineage: Bacteria
Description: partial 16S ribosomal RNA
Rfam family: Bacterial small subunit ribosomal RNA
Source: RNAcentral